This 1686-nucleotide long non-coding RNA is filed under the name Lynx pardinus (Iberian lynx). The record is from RNAcentral. Lineage: Eukaryota; Metazoa; Chordata; Mammalia; Carnivora; Felidae.
CAAUCAGGCCAAAAAUAAAGCUAUACUUCACCUGAAGGACCCCCACAAUUCUGCCAAUGGGAUGUCCAUCCAUGUCAUGCCGCUCACCUGGAAAAGGCAGCCCCCAGCACAAAUGCAGCAUACUCCUUCACCAGGGGCUCUGUGCUGUUCAGCCCAUUGAUCACCACUUGAAGGCCACCGAAGGAAAGCAGGUCCUGUGCAUUAUCCAUCUGUAACAAAGACAUGGCUUAGUACAGUCCAGCCAUCAAGGAUUACUGCCUUUCUUUUGGUGACUAUUCUAAAAGCCUAAAAAAUCAAGUAAAAACCAAUGGAGACCUUUCUAACUGGAAAAAGAUAUGUAAAAACAACCUAAAUUCAUAAAUUUGAGAUUUCUGAAUUCAUCUAACAUGAUUUUCGAGCACCUGUGUGGAAAUGGCAGCAAUGGCACCUAGUUAUUGUUUAUGCCAAACAUGUCCUGGAAAAUUCUAAAACCAUAAUGAAUCACAAAGCUUACUCCAAAUGUACAAGCUGUUAACACAAAGAUCUGACAUCGUCAGGACUAGUAAAUAGUGCCAUGCUUCCUAUUGAUGUCUAGUCCUAAUGCAGGCAGUGGAAGCAGCAGACACACACACAAAAAAAGGCGUUUUCAAAUUUUGUUAUUAUUAUUGUUUAAAUGUUUGUUUAUUUUUGAGAGGAAGAGAGAGAACAUGAGCAGGGGAGGUGCAGAGUGGGGGGGGGCGGGGGGAGAAGAUCUGAAGUGGGCUCUGUGCUGACAGGAGAGAGCCUUAUGCAGGGCUCCAACUCACAAACCAUGAUAUCAUGACUUGAGCCCAAGUUGGAUGCUUAACUGACUGGUGCCACCCAGGCGCCCCAAAGGCUGUUUUUUAAUUAGAAGUCAAGGGACUAUGUAACAUGAACCCUGUUGCACAGGAAAGGGGGUCUAGCAGAGUGCUAGAGGAAGAAUACCAAUAAUACCUCCUCUCCUCUCUCUUCCUCACUUCAUACAGUCUAAGGCUGACUCACUGUGAGGGCACUCAUGAUAAAAUGUAUACAGAAGUCUCUCUCAAAGGCUAUAUAGUGUGAUAAAAUUCUAUCAAACAGCACUGGUCUAGGCUAUCCUUUAAGGUCCAAAGCCCCAAGUCUAGACUCUCUUUUAUUCUAAAGGGAAUAUCAUGCCCCAGGCUUCAUUAAUAUCCUGGAACAAGAACACUCAACUUGCUCAGAAAGGUCACUGGAUCCGGUUUCCUUCAUGCAGUAACUAUGGUCUCCACUGGAAAUACCUUUGUUGAUACAAAGGCUGCCUCCUGCCCACAAGUGGAUUCCACUCUACAAAUCAUCAGGACAAUGCAGGAAGCUAGAGCCCAACAAUAUAUCUGCUACCCACCUUUUUCCUCCAGAUGCCACAGAGCCACUUCCUAACUUUGUCCUUCUAAACUAGACAAAGGCUCUAACAGAGAAACUGAGUUUGAAGGACUCUGAUUCUUCCUGUGUUUCUGAGUGGAACUAGCCUGUUUUUACCACUUAGAAGAUCAUUUUUAUACAUUCUGAUAUCAUCUCCACAAGAGCAGUUUUAUUUUCUGUCUGUCCACUCUUGUAGAUACAGUGAUUACAACAGCGUCGAGUAUAUAAUUAGGUACUCAAUAAAUAAUUGGGUUUUUAAAAAUGUUUAUUUUUGAGAGUGAGAGAAAGAGAGGUAGUGUAGGACAG